This 554-nucleotide ribosomal RNA is filed under the name uncultured fungus. RNAcentral describes it as "SSU rRNA". It matches the Rfam family "Eukaryotic small subunit ribosomal RNA", at positions 1209 to 1785 of the family's 1831-position model. The record is from RNAcentral. Lineage: Eukaryota; Fungi.
GGAAACUCACCAGGUCCAGACACGAUGAGGAUUGACAGAUUGAGAGCUCUUUCUUGAUUUCGUGGGUGGUGGUGCAUGGCCGUUCUUAGUUGGUGGAGUGAUUUGUCUGCUUAAUUGCGAUAACGAACGAGACCUUAACCUGCUAAAUAGCCCGUAUUGCUUUGGCAGUACGCUGGCUUCUUAGAGGGACUAUCGGCUCAAGCCGAUGGAAGUUUGAGGCAAUAACAGGUCUGUGAUGCCCUUAGAUGUUCUGGGCCGCACGCGCGCUACACUGACAGAGCCAGCGAGUACUCCCUUGGCCGAAAGGCCCGGGUAAUCUUGUUAAACUCUGUCGUGCUGGGGAUAGGGCAUUGCAAUUAUUGCCCUUCAACGAGGAAUCCCUAGUAAGCGCAAGUCAUCAGCUUGCGUUGAUUACGUCCCUGCCCUUUGUACACACCGCCCGUCGCUACUACCGAUUGAAUGGCUCAGUGAGGCUUUCGGACUGGCCCAGAGAGGUCGGCAACGACCACUCAGGGCCGGAAAGUUAUCCAAACUCGGUCAUUUAGAGGAAGUAA